CUUGAUUUCGAUUGAAGCACGCGUCACAAUUGAAUAUGGCACAAGUGGAAAGUCUCCCACUCUGACUCCCCGCCGCAGAAAAGUUGUGGAUGCGAGGCAAAGAGCGCCUACUUUGGCUCCGGAUUCAUAAUACUCACAGCCUCUCCAUCAUCGGUUAAGAACCUUUAUGAGUAGAAUAUAUAAAUAUAUAUUUUUUUCUGCUUUUGUGCACUGGGCAUCAUGUUCGUUGCGCUAGACGGAAUUGACACGGCGUGCAACUGAAUCCAUAGCCUCUGUGGCCUUCACUAGAUCAACACAAAUCGUCAGGAAGAAGCUCACUAGUGAGUGCAGACUCCAGCACGUCAAACAACCUACCGCAAGAAUUUGCUCUAUUGGCUGCCUUAGUGCGCAAUUUCUCGUCAACAUUAUGCAUGGAAGUGUAGUUGAUUUGGAUUUCGUCUAUUUGGUUUCUUUGUGCACAAACGUGUGCUCUUUUGCAAAUUGUCACAUUGGGAUUCGGAGGUCCCUUGCAUUAACACACACUUCCUUAGAUAGCCAGCUUGUGCAAGGGGACCGAGGUAAGCGAAGAUGGAUGAUACCUAUUUGUGUUUGAUCUGGAGAAAACCUGUUACGCACACAACGGGGAGGGAAUAACAGCUCAAGCAUGUCACUUGUUUUGCAGUGGGUAACCUACACUUUGACAGCGCUGCUUGUUCGCACAGCUUAACAGCAUGUUCCUGACAGCUUACUUUCUCUCAGAUCCAAAGACAACUCGAUGUUAAGGAACCAUUACACUACUGUAGCCCCACAGAAUGAAUCAGUGAAAAGAGUAGACAGGAAAGGGUGGCGGGAUGCCACCGCUACAAUGCAAAAUCUAAUGAGGUGCAUGACAUUGCAAAUGUUUGAAAGUGUAAAAGGCUACAAUAUUAACAAAACAACAAUUACGGGAAUCUAACAAAGUUACUGACAGGUUCAAGCUGUAGAAGAAACAGAGUUACGGACAAUUGAACCGGCAUCGAGGUAAUCUUCCACUGCGUCGCACUGUCGCUCGUGUUGUCCCACUACACCAAAAACAUCUCAACAGCUGCAAAAUUGUGAACUAUCAUUCUGAUGCCAUGUAACUACAAAAUAGAACAUGAGCCUCUGUACAAUACUGUUUUUUGUCUUAAAUCACCUGACCCAGAUUUUGAAU
Non-coding RNA from Physcomitrium patens, 1171 nucleotides. The record is from RefSeq and is a predicted model, not a curated record. NCBI's taxonomy places the organism in Eukaryota, Viridiplantae, Streptophyta, Bryopsida, Funariales, Funariaceae.